RNAcentral lists this ribosomal RNA (301 nucleotides) under uncultured bacterium. Its description in RNAcentral is "partial 16S ribosomal RNA". It matches the Rfam family "Bacterial small subunit ribosomal RNA", at positions 509 to 807 of the family's 1533-position model. The record is from RNAcentral.
CAGUAGCCGCGUUAAUACGGAGGGAGCUAGCGUUGUUCGGAAUUACUGGGCGUAAAGCGCGCGUAGGCGGUUACUCAAGUCAGAGGUGAAAGCCCGGGGCUCAACCCCGGAACUGCCUUUGAAACUAGGUGACUAGAAUCUUGGAGAGGUCAGUGGAAUUCCGAGUGUAGAGGUGAAAUUCGUAGAUAUUCGGAAGAACACCAGUGGCGAAGGCGACUGACUGGACAAGUAUUGACGCUGAGGUGCGAAAGCGUGGGGAGCAAACAGGAUUAGAUACCCCAGUAGUCCCUGUCUCUUAUAC